CUACGGGGCGCACCAGUGGGGAAUAUUGGACAAUGGGGGAAACCCUGAUCCAGCAAUGCCGCGUGUGUGAAGAAGGCCUGCGGGUUGUAAAGCACUUUCGGUUGGGAGGACUGCUUCUAGCACUAAUAUUGUUGGAAGUUGACGUUACCUUCAGAAGAAGCACCGGCUAACUCCGUGCCAGCAGCCGCGGUAAUACGGAGGGUGCAAGCGUUAAUCGGAAUUACUGGGCGUAAAGCGCGCGUAGGCGGCUAGAUCAGUCGGGUGUGAAAGCCCCGGGCUUAACCUGGGAACUGCAUCCGAUACUGUCUAGCUUGAGUACAGGAGAGGGGAGUGGAGUUCCACAUGUAGCGGUGAAAUGCGUAGAUAUGUGGAGGAACACCAAUGGCGAAGGCAGCUCUCUGGCCUGAUACUGACGCUGAGGUGCGAAAGCGCGGGGAGCAAACAGGAUUAGAUACCCGCGUAGUC
RNAcentral lists this ribosomal RNA (465 nucleotides) under uncultured bacterium. RNAcentral's name for it is "partial 16S ribosomal RNA". It matches the Rfam family "Bacterial small subunit ribosomal RNA", at positions 339 to 795 of the family's 1533-position model. The record is from RNAcentral.